GACGAACGCUGGCGGCGUGGAUUAGGCAUGCAAGUCGAACGGUAUCAUCCUUUCGGGGGUGAGAGAGUGGCGAACUGGUGAGUAACACGUAGGUUAUCUACCCUCAAGACGGGGACAACCCAGGGAAACUUGGGCUAAUACCGGAUGUGAGCAACUUUUAGUUGUUUGAAAGGUGGCGUAAGCUGUCGCUUGGGGAUGAGCCUGCGUCCUAUUAGUUAGUUGGUGAGGUAACGGCUCACCUAGGCAAUGAUAGGUAGGCGGCCUUAACGGGUGGUCGCCCACACUGGGAUUGAGAUACGGCCCAGACUCCUACGGGAGGCAGCAGUCGAGAAUAGUCUACAAUGGUCGGAAGACUGAUAGUGCGACGCCGCGUGAACGAUGAAUCCCUUCGGGGUGUAAAGUUCUUUUAUAUGUGAGCAGUGCUUCUUAUAUUAACAGUAUGGGGAGAGAGAUAUUAGCAUAUGAAUAAGCAACGGCUAACUCCGUGCCAGCAGCCACGGUAAACU
RNAcentral lists this ribosomal RNA (506 nucleotides) under uncultured bacterium. RNAcentral describes it as "bacterial SSU rRNA". It matches the Rfam family "Bacterial small subunit ribosomal RNA", at positions 28 to 526 of the family's 1533-position model. The record is from RNAcentral.